UACGUAGGGUCCGAGCGUUGUUCGGAUUCACUGGGCGUAAAGGGUGCGUAGGCGGUCGGGUAAGUCUGGCGUGAAAUCUCCAAGCCUAACUUGGAAACUGCGUUGGAUACUAUCCGGCUCGAGGAAUGGAGGGGAGACUGGAAUACUUGGUGUAGCAGUGAAAUGCGUAGAUAUCAAGUGGAACACCAGUGGCGAAGGCGAGUCUCUGGACAUUUCCUGACGCUGAGGCACGAAAGCCAGGGGAGCAAACGGG
This 253-nucleotide ribosomal RNA is filed under the name uncultured bacterium. Its description in RNAcentral is "partial 16S ribosomal RNA". It matches the Rfam family "Bacterial small subunit ribosomal RNA", at positions 524 to 776 of the family's 1533-position model. The record is from RNAcentral.